Molecule: ribosomal RNA, 497 nt
Filed under: uncultured bacterium
Lineage: Bacteria
Description: partial 16S ribosomal RNA
Rfam family: Bacterial small subunit ribosomal RNA
Source: RNAcentral
GACGAACGCUGGCGGCGUGCCUAAUACAUGCAAGUUGAGCGCUGAAGGUUGGUACUUGUACCGACUGGAUGAGCAGCGCACGGGUGAGUAACGCGUGGGGAAUCUGCCUUUGAGCGGGGGACAACAUUUGGAAACGAAUGCUAAUACCGCAUAAAAACUUUAAACACAAGUUUUAAGUUUGAAAGAUGCAAUUGCAUCACUCAAAGAUGAUCCCGCGUUGUAUUAGCUAGUUGGUGAGGUAAAGGCUCACCAAGGCGAUGAUACAUAGCCGACCUGAGAGGGUGAUCGGCCACAUUGGGACUGAGACACGGCCCAAACUCCUACGGGAGGCAGCAGUAGGGAAUCUUCGGCAAUGGACGAAAGUCUGACCGAGCAACGCCGCGUGAGUGAAGAAGGUUUUCGGAUCGUAAAACUCGGUUGGUAGAGAAGAACGUUGGUGAGAGUGGAAAGCUCAUCAAGUGACGGUAACUACCCAGAAAGGGACGGCUAACUACGUG